Molecule: long non-coding RNA, 205 nt
Filed under: Vigna radiata
Lineage: Eukaryota; Viridiplantae; Streptophyta; Magnoliopsida; Fabales; Fabaceae
Description: long non-coding RNA (VRAD_LNC011231)
Source: RNAcentral
UAAAUGAAAUUUGACAAAAACAUUCAGCAGCGUGAAUCAACAAUAAAUCAACGUGUGCAGCCCUCAACAAUGAAAAUGCUAAAAACCAAGAAAUGUUUCCUCCUCAACGCUUGCAAAAAUAAGAAAAUGGAAAAGAAAAUGUUGCUUCUAUCAUUCAUCCAUUAUCCAUCACCAUCCACAUUGUUUCAAGUAAAAGGCUCUACAA